This 313-nucleotide ribosomal RNA is filed under the name Alytes muletensis (Mallorcan midwife toad). RNAcentral describes it as "partial 16S ribosomal RNA". Lineage: Eukaryota; Metazoa; Chordata; Amphibia; Anura; Alytidae. The record is from RNAcentral.
AGCUGUAAACCUAGCCCUCAAAAAACAACAACCCACAAAUCUCAACUAAAACAUUUAUAGUCUCUAGUAUAGGCGAUAAAAAAAGAAAUAGGCGCAACAGAUGAAGUACCGUAAGGGAAAGAUGAAAUAGUAUGAAACAACCACCAAAGCACUAAAAAGCAGAGAUUUAUCCUCGUACCUUUUGCAUCAUGGUCUAGCAAGAAACCUUAAGCAAAGCGCAUUAAAGUUUAACCCCCCGAAACUAGACGAGCUACUCCGAGGCAGCUAUAAGAGCAAACCCAUCUCUGUGGCAAAAGAGUGGGAAGACCCCCGA